This 373-nucleotide ribosomal RNA is filed under the name uncultured bacterium. RNAcentral describes it as "bacterial SSU rRNA". It matches the Rfam family "Bacterial small subunit ribosomal RNA", at positions 527 to 898 of the family's 1533-position model. The record is from RNAcentral.
GGGGGGAACGAGCGUUGUUCGGAUUUACUGGGCGUAAAGGGUGCGUAGGCGGGUCAGCAAGUCGGGUGUGAAAGUUCACGGCUUAACUGUGAAUCUGCAUUCGAAACUGCCGGUCUUGAGUACUGGAGAGGUGAGUGGAAUUCCUGGUGUAGCGGUGAAAUGCGUAGAUAUCAGGAGGAACACCGUUGGCGAAGGCGGCUCACUGGACAGAUACUGACGCUGAGGCACGAAGGUCGGGGGAGCAAACAGGAUUAGAUACCCUGGUAGUCCCGACGGUAAACGAUGGGCACUAGGUGUCGGAGGUAUCGACCCCUCCGGUGCCGCAGUUAACACAUUAAGUGCCCCGCCUGGGGAGUACGGCCGCAAGGUUGAA